AUUCUUCAACCCUCUCUUUUCUUAGUGAUUAGAGAGGAGCUUGGAUUCUGAGUGUUGCUCCUUACCCGAGCUCAUUCGUAAUACAUUAGCAUCCAUAUUCGAACUUUCGGAUUGACUUGGCGUAAUAGACUAUUCGCUGAGGAAUCUAACUUCGGUUAGAGCCGGGUUUGAACUAGGAAGCUCCUAAUCUAGCUUAGUCUACUUUUAG
Molecule: unclassified non-coding RNA, 208 nt
Filed under: uncultured Rhodotorula
Lineage: Eukaryota; Fungi; Basidiomycota
Also listed under: 1 other name
Description: sequence contains ITS2
Source: RNAcentral